Molecule: ribosomal RNA, 141 nt
Filed under: uncultured Clostridium sp.
Lineage: Bacteria; Bacillati; Bacillota; Clostridia; Eubacteriales; Clostridiaceae
Description: partial 16S ribosomal RNA
Rfam family: Bacterial small subunit ribosomal RNA
Source: RNAcentral
AGGCAGCAGUGGGGAAUAUUGCACAAUGGGCGAAAGCCUGAUGCAGCAACGCCGCGUGAACGAUGAAGGCGUUCGGGUCGUAAAGUUCUGUCCUCAAGGAAGAUAAUGACGGUACUUGAGGAGGAAGCCCCGGCUAACUAC